AGGAAUAUUGGUCAAUGGGCAGACGCCUGAACCAGCCAAGUCGCGUGAGGGAUGACGGUCCUAUGGAUUGUAAACCUCUUUUGUCAGGGAGCAAAGGGCGCCACGUGUGGCGUUUUGCGAGUACCUGAAGAAAAAGCAUCGGCUAACUCCGUGCCAGCAGCCGCGGUAAUACGGAGGAUGCGAGCGUUAUCCGGAUUUAUUGGGUUUAAAGGGUGCGCAGGCGGAAUGUCAAGUCAGCGGUAAAAUUUCGGGGCUCAACCCCGUCGUGCCGUUGAAACUGGCGUUCUUGAGUGAGCGAGAAGUAUGCGGAAUGCGUGGUGUAGCGGUGAAAUGCAUAGAUAUCACGCAGAACUCCGAUUGCGAAGGCAGCAUACCGGCGCUCAACUGACGCUCAUGCACGAAAGCGUGGGUAUCGAACAGGAUUAGAUACCCUGGUAGUCCACGCAGUAAACGAUGAAUACUAACUGUCCGGGCCGAAUGAGGUCUGGGUGGUACAGCGAAAGCGUUAAGUAUUCCACCUGGGGAGUACGCCGGCAACGGUGAAACUCAAAGGAAUUGACGGGGGCCCGCACAAGCGGAGGAACAUGUGGUUUAAUUCGAUGAUACGCGAGGAACCUUACCCGGGCUCAAACGACGGAUGAAUGUUUUUGAAAGGAGGCAGUCCUACGGGACAUCCGUCGAGGUGCUGCAUGGUUGUCGUCAGCUCGUGCCGUGAGGUGUCGGCUUAAGUGCCAUAACGAGCGCAACCCCCAUCGCCAGUUACCAGCAAGUAAAGUUGGGGACUCUGGCGAGACUGCCGGCGCAAGCUGUGAGGAAGGCGGGGAUGACGUCAAAUCAGCACGGCCCUUACGUCCGGGGCGACACACGUGUUACAAUGGCAGGUACAGAGAGAUGCGAUGCGGCGACGCAGAGCGGAACUUCAAAGCCUGUCUCAGUUCGGAUUGGAGUCUGCAACCCGACUCCAUGAAGCUGGAUUCGCUAGUAAUCGCGCAUCAGCCACGGCGCGGUGAAUACGUUCCCG
This 1021-nucleotide ribosomal RNA is filed under the name uncultured bacterium. RNAcentral's name for it is "bacterial SSU rRNA". It matches the Rfam family "Bacterial small subunit ribosomal RNA", at positions 357 to 1376 of the family's 1533-position model. The record is from RNAcentral.